UUUAAGUGCAACCAUAAGUUUCCACGCCCAACUUUGAUCGUCUAUCUUAUUUGAAAAUUUUGUAUAAUUAGUAUUUUUGUUGUUAGGAUAUGAUAAAAAAAAUGAAUAGUACUUUACUCGUGACUUAUGUUUUUAAUUUUUUUUAAUUUUUUUCAAAUAAGACGAAAUAGUCAAUGUUGGGUGCGGAAAACCAUGACUGCACUAAAA
Non-coding RNA from Oryza glumipatula, 207 nucleotides. The record is from Rfam. NCBI's taxonomy places the organism in Eukaryota, Viridiplantae, Streptophyta, Magnoliopsida, Poales, Poaceae.